UUCCGAAUAUACUUCCUCGUCACGAACCCUAGAUUCAAUUUCCCCCAAAUUCGAUCCCGAUCCACAGAUGGGGCAUAACAUCCAUCCCAGCACCUUGAUCCUCCUCCUGGCCCCUCCCUGAUCCUGCUCGAUUUUAUCUCAAGAAAAAUGAUCCUACUCGAUUGGUGGAUCUGCGGCUCAGGGCAUCCUCGAUGUUCCUAACCUUAAGAAGUGCGGCGGCAGCAGAUCCGCGUGGGGGCCUCGAGCGCAGCUGGAUCCACGUGAAGGCCUCCACAGCCUCCGUGCAGACGCUCGAGGUCGACAACGCCACCAUGAUGUACAGCUGCAAGCUUCCCACCCAUGUCCUUAGCCUCUUCAUCACACUCUUGGUGUCUCCUCAACGAUCCUCAGCAGGGAGCGCAUCAUUGUCAUCAACUCCAAGCUGAUCCGAUGCGUCAAGAGGUAAUCCUCUACUCACUUGACCGCCGACGAGGUCUUCCAGUACGCCGCCGAUGUGCAGCCACUCUCCUCUCUCUCUUUCCCUCCCUCUGGUAUCCCUCUCUAUCUUGCUGGAACGGCACCAAUCUUCACUGGUCUGGACUCACACCCAACUUGAUUUUUCCUUGUGCUGAUUUGGGGUUAGUUCAGGUCCAGGGGCAGGUGCUAAUGGAGAGUUUGAGAAUGAAUGCGAGAGGUGGUUGCAUCUGUUACCCUUUAGUAAUUUUUUUGUCGGUCUCUGCUUUUUUGAUUCAUAGGUGUACUUAGAUCCAAGGAUCAGAUAUAUGCUACUGUAAAGUUGUCUCAGGAUAUUAUCUAUCUGUUUCUGAUGAUAAGCUUUCAGUUAGUUGAUACCACUGACUUUUCCUGCGUGGGAAAGACAACAUCUUCUACUGGACAUUUGCCAAGACAGAGCACUUUAGAUUCCUUCUACAUAUAACAUGUACUACGAGAUGGCUGUGAUGGUUGCCGUCUAUAUUGUCGUGUGGAUUGUUCCACACUUCUGAUCAUCAUAUUGUAUGAUGAGCAGUUGGCCAUCUCUUAUUCUGUGGGGAUAUGGUCCGUUUGUAUUCUUCUAAUUGAUUCGGUUCACAAUUCUAGCCGAUGAAAUUUGGUCUACAUUUAUGUGUACGUAUGCUAUCCUAUAUACUGGAACUUGUGCUUGCCCAUUAUAUGAUUAUACUACAAGUAGACAAAUGCAAAUGUCCAUAGUAAUAAACUUGUGGUCACAGGACUACUAGCUUAAAGUUUGUUAGAUUAUGUAAAUGGGCAUUUUUGUUGUCUGCUCUUUAGGUUUCCAUAGCAUGAGGUGGUGCUGUUGCUUUUAGAAACACAUAUAAACUGUCAUCUAUACUGAACAAUGGGGCUUCCUGUCUAAACUGGAGUAGUAAUUCGAGACUGAAAGGACCGACAUUAGUAGAAAUAAUACAAAUAUAUCCAUUAGAAGAGUUUUCUGCACUGAGUCCGUGGGUCUCACUAAGAUAUAAGAUAUAUAGAAUGUUGUAAAGAUCAGCUUACCUUCUCAUGCAAUGGAACAAUUGUGUCUUGAUCUUUCCCGUUUUCUUUGGUUUUGCAGCCUAGAAUUUUUAGACAUGCGCAUAUAGAUUGGAGCAUCUAAUAGUAGUUGAAAAUGUUUUUGAGUAAAAAUGCAACUAAUACUCAAUUUUCUAGGACUUGAUACAUCAUGGUCUUCUUGUGCUUUGUUGUUUGGUUGGUGUAGAAUCCCUCAGCUCUUACCAAGAGGCUCUAGCUUCGAACCUGACUCUUUUAGUAGUUGGAGUGUUGCACGCAUGGAUUUGAUCGCAGGUUUAAGAGGAAGCGAAGCAGCAAUAGUUUGGGUUCAGAGAAGAUUAGGAGCAGCAGUUCAUUGGAGAAGGAGAGGUACAACAGCCGAGGGUAGCAGCAGAGAGCAGAAUCAGUAGGUCAGGGGCGGCAGCAGAGGAUCAGAAGCAGAGAUGAGUUCGAUUCAAUUGCCAUUGAUAAUGAUUCAGAGUUGAGUUUGCACCACCCUUGUGUUACUAAAUAGUUUGUCCUUUUUCACUUGUGAUUAUGCACUAGAGAUUUGCAAGGAUGCAUUGGAUUCUUUUUAUACUGAUUUGAUGCACUCUGACUUUGGAAUGCGAACAAAUGUGAUCUUCAAUUGGCAUUGAUGAUUCAGACUUUAGUUUGCUAAUACUGUAGCUGACAUAA
This is a long non-coding RNA of Aegilops tauschii subsp. strangulata, 2166 nucleotides long. RefSeq lists it as uncharacterized. The record is from RefSeq and is a predicted model, not a curated record. Lineage: Eukaryota; Viridiplantae; Streptophyta; Magnoliopsida; Poales; Poaceae.